UUGACCUCGGAUCAGGUAGGGAUACCCGCUGAACUUAAGCAUAUCAAUAAGCGGAGGAAAAGAAACCAACCGGGAUUGCCCCAGUAACGGCGAGUGAAGCGGCAAGAGCUCAAAUUUGAAAGCUGGCCCCCCCGGGGUCCGCGUUGUAAUUUGCAGAGGAUGCUUCGGGAGCGGCCCCCGUCUAAGUGCCCUGGAACGGGCCGUCAUAGAGGGU
This 214-nucleotide ribosomal RNA is filed under the name Penicillium capsulatum. RNAcentral describes it as "partial 28S ribosomal RNA". It matches the Rfam family "Eukaryotic large subunit ribosomal RNA", at positions 1 to 213 of the family's 3401-position model. Lineage: Eukaryota; Fungi; Ascomycota; Eurotiomycetes; Eurotiales; Aspergillaceae. The record is from RNAcentral.